CCCCUUAGAUGUUCUGGGCUGCACACGUGCUACACUGGCAGGUUCAGCGAGCUUCAUGCCCUGAUCUGAAAGGAAUGGGAAAUCUUUUCAAAACCUGCCGUGCUUGGGAUAGAUGUUUGCAAUUAUUCAUCUUCAACGAGGAUUGCCUUGUAAGCGCACGUCAUCAGCGUGCAUUGAAUACGACCCUGUAUUCUGUACACACCGCCCGUCGCUCCUACCGAUUGAAGUUUUCGGUGAGUUGACAGGAGGAUUUUUUUGAAACUGGUUCGCCAGUGGAUUUUAGAUCCAAAUGCCAACGAAUCGAUGGCUUUAGAGGAAGGAGAAGUCGUAACA
This 333-nucleotide ribosomal RNA is filed under the name uncultured eukaryote. RNAcentral's name for it is "partial 18S ribosomal RNA". It matches the Rfam family "Eukaryotic small subunit ribosomal RNA", at positions 1469 to 1796 of the family's 1831-position model. The record is from RNAcentral.